GCUAUCGGAUUGAUACUAAGCCAUGCGAGUCUUUGUAGUAAUACAAGGCAGACGGCUCAGUAACACGUAGUCAACCUACCCUAUGGACAAGAAUAAUCUCGGGAAACUGGGCAUAAUUCUUGAUAGAUCAUAAUGCCUGGAAUGGUUUAUGGUUAAAAUGAUUCGUCGCCAUAGGAUGGGACUGCGGCCUAUCAGCUUGUUGGUGAGGUAAUGGCCCACCAAGGCGAUUACAGGUACGGGCUCUGAGAGGAGAAGCCCGGAGAUGGGUACUGAGACACGGACCCAGGCCCUAUGGGGCGCAGCAGGCGAGAAAACUUUGCAAUGUGCGAAAGCACGACAAGGUUAAUCCGAGUGAUUUCUGCUAAAGAAAUCUUUUGCCAGUCAUAAAACCACUGGUGAAUAAGGGGUGGGCAAGUUCUGGUGUCAGCCGCCGCGGUAAAACCAGCACCUCAAGUGGUCAGGAUGAUUAUUGGGCCUAAAGCAUCCGUAGCCGGCUUUGUAAGUUUUCGGUUAAAUCCAUGUGCUCAACGCAUGGGCUGCCGAAAAUACUGCAUGGCUAGGGAGUGGGAGAGGUAGACGGUACUCAGUAGGAAGGGGUAAAAUCCUUUGAUCUAUUGAUGACCACCUGUGGCGAAGGCGGUCUACCAGAACACGUUCGACGGUGAGGGAUGAAAGCUGGGGGAGCAAACCGGAUUAGAUACCCGGGUAGUCCCAGCUGUAAACGAUGCAGACUCGAUGAUGCAUUGGCAUAAUAGCCAGUGCAGUGUCGCAGGGAAGCCGUUAAGUCUGCCGCCUGGGAAGUACGUACGCAAGUAUGAAACUU
Molecule: ribosomal RNA, 823 nt
Filed under: uncultured marine group I thaumarchaeote
Lineage: Archaea; Thermoproteati; Nitrososphaerota
Description: SSU rRNA
Rfam family: Archaeal small subunit ribosomal RNA
Source: RNAcentral